This 815-nucleotide ribosomal RNA is filed under the name uncultured archaeon. RNAcentral's name for it is "bacterial SSU rRNA". It matches the Rfam family "Archaeal small subunit ribosomal RNA", at positions 49 to 859 of the family's 1478-position model. The record is from RNAcentral.
CCAUGUUAGUCGAGGGUGNUUNNCUUCGGAAGAGGUAACCGGCAGACGGCUCAGUAACACGUGGACAACUUACCCUUGGGACCGGGAUAACCCNUGGGAAACUGGGGCUAAUACCGGAUAGAGCAUCGGUUGCUGGAAUGCACGAUGGUCUAAAGCUGAGGCGCCCAAGGAUAGGUCUGCGGCCGAUUAGGUUGUUGUUGAUGUGACGGAUCAACAAGCCUACGAUCGGUACGGGUUGUGAGAGCAAUAGCCCGGAGAUGGGUUCUGAGAGAAGAACCCAGGUCCUACGGGACGCAUCAGGCGCGAAAACUUUACAAUGUGCGAAAGCACGAUAAGGGAACUCUGAGUGCCUCCUAAGGAGGCUGUUCGGGUGUCUAAAAAGCAUCCGAAGGAAGGGCUGGGUAAGACCGGUGCCAGCCGCCGCGGUAACACCGGCAGCCCAAGUGGUAGCCACGCUUAUUGGGUCUAAAGCGUCCGUAGCCGGCCAAGUAAGUUCUUUGGGAAAUUUGACCGCUUAACGGUCAAGCUAUCAGGGGAUACUGCUUGGCUUGGGACCGGGAGAGGUCAGAGGUACUCCAAGGGUAGGGGUGAAAUCCGUUAAUCCUUGGGGGACCACCGGUAGCGAAGGCGUCUGACCAGACCGGGUCCGACGGUGAGGGACGAAGGCUAGGGUCGCGAACCGGAUUAGAUACCCGGGUAGUCCUAGCUGUAAACGAUGCGGGCCAGGUGUUGGCAUUACUGCGAGUGAUGCCAGUGCCGAAGGGAAGCCGUUAAGCCCGCCAUCUGGGGAGUACGGUCGCAAGGCUGAAACUUAA